GGGCCUAUGGUCUAGUGGUACGACGUCGCAUUCGCAUUGCGGAGACGGCAGUUCGAUUCUGCCUAGGUCCACCA
This 74-nucleotide transfer RNA is filed under the name Candidatus Magasanikbacteria bacterium RIFCSPHIGHO2_02_FULL_48_18. RNAcentral describes it as "tRNA-Ala". It matches the Rfam family "tRNA". From Rfam's summary of the family: Transfer RNA (tRNA) molecules are approximately 80 nucleotides in length. Their secondary structure includes four short double-helical elements and three loops (D, anti-codon, and T loops). The record is from RNAcentral. RNAcentral also lists the same sequence under 2 other names. Lineage: Bacteria; Candidatus Magasanikiibacteriota.